GCUUACGACCACACCGGCCUGAGUACGCCUGAUCUCGUCUGAUCUCGGAAGCUAAGCAGGGUCGGGCCUGGUUAGUACUUGGAUGGGAGACUUCCUGGGAAUACCAGGUGCUAUAAGCU
Ribosomal RNA from Oncorhynchus tshawytscha (Chinook salmon), 119 nucleotides. Lineage: Eukaryota; Metazoa; Chordata; Actinopteri; Salmoniformes; Salmonidae. The record is from Ensembl.